This 200-nucleotide unclassified non-coding RNA is filed under the name Thelephoraceae sp. Its description in RNAcentral is "partial internal transcribed spacer 2". Lineage: Eukaryota; Fungi; Basidiomycota; Agaricomycetes; Thelephorales; Thelephoraceae. The record is from RNAcentral.
UUAAGUUCAGCGGGUAGUCCUACCUGAUUUGAGAUCAAACGUUCAAAGAGCUGUCUCCAUAGAAGAGAGACAUCUGUGAGCCCCAGCGAACCUCCGUCACUGAAGGUUACCUGGUGGAAAACCACAAGCGUAGAUAGUUAUCACACCUGUGAUGCCACCAAACACUGGCAAGCUGAUUCAUUUGAGAGGAGCCAACCACA